CAAAACGUCUCUUUCUAUCUACGUCCCGCCCAUAGUGAUGGUUGCUUAGCGCGGGCUUCCGGUGAUUGAUCCAACCGAAUACCGUGUUUCUCCGAGGCUACUGGUCCGUUGAUGGUCUGCAGUAGAACCUGAGGUAGCUGGGUCCUAACCGUAGCCCAGCAUCAUGACAGAGAGUUUCAGCAACAUCGAGGAUGAGGCGUUCCCCAGUUUCCUGUCUACCUCUGUGGGCAGCAGCCGUGCACCCUGGGAAACGUCACCCUGGCCUCCACCCUGGGGCUGCCCGUAGCUGCCUCCACCGUGGCUAAAAUUAGAGCUGGGUCCGACAACAGAGUAAAUGCCGUCCAGGCGUCAUAUCUGGAGGACGGUCGGUUCUCUCUGGCUGACUCUCAGUCCAACAACAAGGAACAGGGGAAAUUUGCCCUCAGCUUCAAAGAUGAGCUAGAUGCUGCAGAUGACUUCAUAGCAGCCCACCGGUUCUCAGACAUGCUGG
Molecule: non-coding RNA, 490 nt
Organism: Salmo salar (Atlantic salmon)
Lineage: Eukaryota; Metazoa; Chordata; Actinopteri; Salmoniformes; Salmonidae
Source: RefSeq, a predicted model, not a curated record